ACUGUCGAUCGGACCGUCGCGCCCGGAUUCGUCCAGGUGAGGAAAGUCCGAACACCACAGGGCAUCGUGCUUCCUAACAGGAAGGACCGGGCCGUUGGCCCGGGACGACACGUGCAACAGAAAACAGACCAGCCGAUGGCCUUUCGGGGCACAGGUGAUGGGUGAAACGGCGGGGUAAGAGCCCACCGGCGUUCCGGGUGACCGGGGCGGCCAGGCAAACUCCACGAGGUGCAAGAUCAAGCAGCGUCGCGCGCGACCCGGGUUUCGACCCGGACUUUCGCGCGGGGAACGGCCCGUUCCACUCCGACGCGGGUAGAUCGCUCGAGGCGAACGGUGACGUUCGUCCCAGAUAAAUGACGGUCUCUCCGGUGCGCGCCCGGCAGCCGCCCGGACAGACAGAAUUCGGCUUACAGAUCGACAGUCGCC
This 426-nucleotide RNase P RNA is filed under the name Rhodothermales bacterium. Its description in RNAcentral is "RNase P RNA component class A". It matches the Rfam family "Bacterial RNase P class A". From Rfam's summary of the family: Ribonuclease P (RNase P) is a ubiquitous endoribonuclease, found in archaea, bacteria and eukarya as well as chloroplasts and mitochondria. Its best characterised activity is the generation of mature 5'-ends of tRNAs by cleaving the 5'-leader elements of precursor-tRNAs. Lineage: Bacteria; Pseudomonadati; Rhodothermota; Rhodothermia; Rhodothermales. The record is from RNAcentral.